RNAcentral lists this ribosomal RNA (123 nucleotides) under Salmo trutta (river trout). The record is from RNAcentral. Lineage: Eukaryota; Metazoa; Chordata; Actinopteri; Salmoniformes; Salmonidae.
GUUUACGGCCAUACCAGCCUGGGUACGCCCCGAUCUCGUCUGAUCUUGGGAAGCUAAGCAGGGUAGGGCCCUGGUUAGUACUUGGAUGGGAGACUGCCAGGGGAAUACCAGGUGCUGUAAGCU